RNAcentral lists this unclassified non-coding RNA (341 nucleotides) under Ostreopsis sp. CBA C1036. RNAcentral describes it as "sequence contains 18S rRNA gene, ITS1, 5.8S rRNA gene, ITS2 and 28S rRNA gene". The stretch from base 71 to 221 matches the Rfam family "5.8S ribosomal RNA". The record is from RNAcentral. Lineage: Eukaryota; Dinophyceae; Peridiniales; Ostreopsidaceae.
GGAUCAUUUGUGAAUGGACUGUUUGCACAUGUGCAUGACAUUCUUUCAACCCCUGUGAAUCCCAUACACUUACAAUGCAAAAAAUGCAUCAACUCAAUUCUAAAUGAAGGGUGCAGCCAAUUGUGUUAAAUAUUGCAAAUUGCAGAAUUCCGUGAGUCAAUGUUUGCUUGAAUGUAGAAAUGUACUUGGGUAUCACCUUGGUACAUCAUUUGUUCAUGUUGGUGUUGUUUCUAUGUUGUCUUCCAUGCCAUAUUGGAUGUGGAUAGUAAAUCAACAUGCAUCAGAUCAUGUCAUUUUGUCGCUGUUUGCUGUCAUCCCAAACCAACUUGAGCAAUUGAAUG